This 501-nucleotide ribosomal RNA is filed under the name uncultured bacterium. Its description in RNAcentral is "partial 16S ribosomal RNA". It matches the Rfam family "Bacterial small subunit ribosomal RNA", at positions 29 to 523 of the family's 1533-position model. The record is from RNAcentral.
AUUGAACGCUGGCGGCAUGCCUUACACAUGCAAGUCGAACGCGAAAGAGGGGCAACCCUUGAGUAGAGUGGCGAACGGGUGAGUAACGCAUCGGAACAUAUCCAGUAGUGGGGGAUAACCCAUCGAAAGAUGGGCUAAUACCGCAUACGCCCCGAGGGGGAAAGUUGGGGAUCCGCAAGGACCUCACGUUAUUGGAGCGGCCGGUGUCCGAUUAGCUAGUUGGCGGGGUAAGAGCCCACCAAGGCGACGAUCGGUAGCUGGUCUGAGAGGAUGAUCAGCCACACUGGGACUGAGACACGGCCCAGACUCCUACGGGAGGCAGCAGUGGGGAAUUUUGGACAAUGGGGGCAACCCUGAUCCAGCCAUGCCGCGUGAGUGAAGAAGGCCUUCGGGUUGUAAAGCUCUUUCGGCCGGAACGAAAUCGCAUCCUCUAAUACGGGGUGUGGAUGACGGUACCGGAAGAAGAAGCACCGGCUAACUACGUGCCAGCCGCCGCCGUAA